Vitis vinifera (wine grape) is the source of this 431-nucleotide long non-coding RNA. RefSeq lists it as uncharacterized. The transcript is spliced from 2 exons. NCBI's taxonomy places the organism in Eukaryota, Viridiplantae, Streptophyta, Magnoliopsida, Vitales, Vitaceae. The record is from RefSeq and is a predicted model, not a curated record.
AAAGAAGGACGAGGCAAUCAUGUGGCUACCGAUGAACAAUCGCCACAACCUGAAGCUAGCCCUUUUAAUAAGGAGCAAAUGGAGAUGCUUCAGAAACUACUGUCUCCUCUUUUGUCAGUACAGUCACAAACUGGCUCAUCUUCCAACCAGGUCAUUGGUUCCGGAACCUUGGCUCACAAAGGAUUUGGAUUCGGGGAAGACGAUUGGCAAUGCUGAGGAAUGCUCUGGACUCUACAUCCUUAAGGAGCGCCACGAUCCACAAGAACAACCUCAAAUGACAGUUGGUAGUAAUUCUUUUUCGGUUUCAUGUCAAAAUAACGAUAGUGCAAUUAGGUUGUGGCACUAUCGCUUAGGUCAUCCAAAUGUUAUGUAUCUCAAGCAUUUAUUUCCUUCAUUAUUUAAUAAAAAUCCACAAUCCUUUGAGUGUGAAA